Molecule: unclassified non-coding RNA, 523 nt
Organism: Pogonomyrmex barbatus (red harvester ant)
Lineage: Eukaryota; Metazoa; Arthropoda; Insecta; Hymenoptera; Formicidae
Source: RefSeq, a predicted model, not a curated record
UUCUCUUUAGUGUAUCUUCCGUCGAUUGGUAUCUUCCUACAUCGUUUCCGUCGCUUCUUUCGUCCCGAUAUAUUUUCCGUUCUCUUCUCGAGCGUUGUAGUCUUGUCGCACGGUCAAUCGUAAUUAUUUCGGAAUAAUCCCGGAAUAAAAAAGUUAUCCUUGUGAUAGAAACUUUGUUGUGAUGCAAUAACAACGCGUUUGUAAAAUAUGCCUGACGCACGGACACACUACUGGCAAUCAUCAAUGACAAUGCACUUAAAGUUUGAAAAAGGAUCAUGGAAACAUCGAGGGUGCUAUACCCUGGAUUACCCUUCAUCACUGACAAGGGUUGAUUCAAGCAGGAUAUGGAACACGAGAACACUUGUCAUCUCUCAUGCACGUGGCAAAUACAGCUCUUUUUCACAUCCCGUCUAUCGAUGAUGAAAAUCUUAAAAUACUUUGUGUUUAUUAUACUGUGAUCUAAAAAAACUUGUGUGUAUUAGACAUUUUCAAAAAGAUUUGUAAAAAUGUAAUUAUAAAGCAU